UCCUUGGACUUAACUUGCUUCAUUGCCCCAAAAGAGAUGAGCUUUUGGGCAGAGCAGAGAAAAAUCUUUUCUGUUUCAGGUUCUUCUGGGAAGAACAAAAAGCAAACAUUAUCCAGCAUAAAAGGACCUGAGAACCAAAACCAUACUCACAUGAGCUUUCACUCCCGCUACAAAGCAUCUUGGCUAUGCUCAGCUAAGGCAGCCACAGCUGGAAGACUGGGGAACUUCAAAACUCCUGCUUUAAUCAGAGCCCUUACAAGGAGAAUGAUGUUCAUUGUGAAGCAACAGGAUUUGCACCUAUUUUCACCAGGAGAGCAGAAGGUGUCAAAGUAAAACAGCUGCAUAUCUUCCAAGAAAAGCUCGUGUUUUCCAAAGGAAUUCAAGCGGAGGUGCUUUAUUAAGAGAAC
RNAcentral lists this long non-coding RNA (407 nucleotides) under Accipiter nisus (Eurasian sparrowhawk). RNAcentral describes it as "lncRNA (ENSANIG00000008729.1)". Lineage: Eukaryota; Metazoa; Chordata; Aves; Accipitriformes; Accipitridae. The record is from RNAcentral.